RNAcentral lists this long non-coding RNA (844 nucleotides) under Triticum aestivum (bread wheat). RNAcentral's name for it is "long non-coding RNA (TAES_LNC025208)". Lineage: Eukaryota; Viridiplantae; Streptophyta; Magnoliopsida; Poales; Poaceae. The record is from RNAcentral.
UCAAAAAACUGGUUUGCUUUAGCAAAAAUCCUUAAUAUUUUUUUGUCAUAUCUAAAUGGCCCUAUCUAAAUAGUAAGCCGUGGCAUUGCAGCCCUUGCUUAGAGGUGCCUUCUUUUAAAGUCAGGAUCGCGUUCACCAUCUUUUCAGAAAUUAGUGUUGCAGAUUAACUCGAUGUCUGGAUCAAUGUAAAUUAUGUUGUAAGAAGAGGACGAUGCUAGUGUUGGAACAUCAGCCCAGGUGGGGGUGCGGAUGGAGCGAGGUGGAGGAUCAGGAUCAGAGGCAAGGGAUCUGGCCAGAAAACAUGGCCUGAGCAGGGGCUUGUGCGGAUAGCUUGAGAUUGCCGAAUACCUUGCUAAGUGCGGGAUUCGGUAUGAGGUGAUUCUCAGAAGGACGAAACAGCUAUGGCGAGUGGUUCAGGGAAUCCACCAGUUGAUCCUUCAGUAACGAGUGAGUGUGGGGAGAAGUUCCCUCCGCCAGUCGGUCUAAACCAUGAUGAGCCGUCAAUUAGGGAUGUUUUGUGGUUCUACGACAACAUGAUGGGCUGUUCGGACGGGAAGCUGCCGAAAUAAGGCGUCUAUCUUGUAAGUCUAAUCGCAAGGAACUUAUUGAUAUUUGUACUUAUGAGCUGUUUUGUGAUUUUUUCAUCAGAAAUUGGGUUAGCCACUUCAAUCCAAUUGCGGUGGUGUUGUCAGGACCAGGACCUUAAGGAUGAGCUUGGGCCUAGAGGUGAGAUUACAGUGGAUGGCUGCAGGGGCAUCCAUCAAAUGUUAACUGCGAAAGAGUUGAUGAUAUAUACCAUGGAUGGCUAGCAAGAUGGAGAGAGAUUUUGGAUCCCUGCUUUGUG